This 2467-nucleotide long non-coding RNA is filed under the name Coturnix japonica (Japanese quail). RNAcentral's name for it is "lncRNA (ENSCJPG00005011604.1)". The record is from RNAcentral. Lineage: Eukaryota; Metazoa; Chordata; Aves; Galliformes; Phasianidae.
UCUCACUCUGUGCCACUGAAUCUGGAAACUAGAAAUCCCAUCACAGCUUCCUGCAUUGUGCAUUAGUCACAUCAGAUAAAUCAUGCAACAGAGGGGACGUACUGUUUCCCGGUUGCACUUCAUAAGAUCUCAUUUGUGAGGAGGACAGAAAACCUUGCUCUGGAGAAGUUCUUUUUGGAUUAUUUUCAGACAGUAGACAAGGCAGAAUUGCUACCUUGAUUAUCUGGAGCCACAUGGAAAUACCAGUUACCUUUUCUCUGCUUGCUCUUGGGUCUGUUAUAAACAGUGGCUUGCCAUUUUAAUAUAUCCUGAAAUUACUCUGCUUUUUCAGAUCCGCCUCCUUCUGCUCUGAUAAGAACAGUAAUUGCAGCCUACUUAAGGGAAGGACAAUGGAAAUCAUAUACUCUUUUACUAUGGGAACACAAAAAUAAGUAACUUUUUGGCAGAAAUAAUCAAAGAGUUAUUUGACAUAUUUUUCUGUUCAUUCAGUGGCUGACUUCACCCUCUGACUAGUGCCUGGAGUGCUGCUGAGAACUAAUAUCCCAGCUGCUCCAAAUGCACCUGAAUGGGUACUAGAGAGAUGAGGAAGCUAACUCAUGGCAGAUGGGACCAGACCAAAUGAAACCUGCCUUCAAGGAAUAAGGCCCUUCAUCCAACCAGAACUGAGUGCACUACUAUCCGUGUCAGCACCAACAGAAUCUAUUAAUUACCCAAUUAAACAAACAAGAAAAAACCUUUACUUGAUGUGUGUAUUUAGACAACCUCAAGCAUUUUGUCUUCAAUAUAAUUUUCCUUAAUUUUGAGUUCUAGUGGAAGGCUUCUCUCUUAUUCCAUCCAGUCAGCCUCUGACUUUGUAAAAUUCAGAGCCUUUUUAUUUGUGAUUUUUGAUGCAUGGUAUUUUAUAUCGUACAACAUAUAUUGUACAAUAAUUGUGCUCUCCAGUAAUAUAAAUCUGUCUUAACCAAAUUAUAUCCUCUGAUAUUCACUGAAAAAAGCAAUGGAUACAGCAGAUAUAGAAUAGGGUGGUGCAAAUCAACAGAUAUUCCAGGUGGCCAGGUAACCAGGUAUUCCAUCCUGCCAGGUAACAAAGGAGAUUUUAAAAGCAAGCCUGCAUUCACAGCAGAUAUCAAUAAUACUAACAGUAUCUGAUCAUGUUUUGUUGUUAAAAUAGAUCAAUUAAUUUAUAUAUUUACAUAGUCUUUUCAUUAAGGAAAAUAGACACAGACAUAGAAAAAAGAUGAAUCAAAACUAUUUUGCUAUAUGAGAUAAGAUACAUUUACUAAGUAACUCCAGGAAGUUAGAUACAGAAGCCAGCUUCUGAUCCUUUCAGUCUCAAUAUUCCUCUACAGCACAUUGCUCAGGAGAAUUUCUAACUCCCUACCCACUUUUGUCUUAGAGGCCAAGAGUAAAUGAUUCCAUCCCUCUACUGAAAGAAGAAGAAAUUUUAAGCAUAGCAGAAAUGCUUUGGCAGCCUCAGCCUCUACCCAAUGACAGGGCUCUACAUGUCAGAGCUGUAGCUCUGAGCUGCCUUGGGAUUCCUGGCACUUCACUGCAACCACCUUCUGCUGCUGGAGCAGUAGAUAUGCUUGGAGUGGGGUUAAGGUGCUUGGCCCCCACUGCCUUCCACCUGCUCCCCGAGUGAUUUGUUUACAUACCAUCAGCCCUACACUUGGUACUCUUGUCAUGCUCUUUUCAGUCUGAAUGGUCUUCAUGCUCACAGCCACAAAACAUGACAGAGUUCAAGAUACCAGCUGACACUUGUAUACCAUGGAGCCUCAAGAACUCGACUUAAGGAGCUUGUUCUCACUCUCUCUUUUACUGCUGGGACCUGUAGCUUCCCAGAAAUCAUCUCCUUUAUCUUUCCUUGUGUCAGGUGUGACCUGGAUUUUAGACAAGCCUCUGUAACCUACUUGCUAGAAUUCCCCAACUUAGGAGGACAACCUCAACAGCAUAUGCUAUCAUUGUCAUGUUCAUCAAGAGCAACGUGUAUUUCCAUACAAAGGUAGACAGGUGCCAUGCAGUAGAGAUGUACUGCACAGCACCUCUCUCAGAGCCAAAACCCUUUAUUCCCAUGGCAAUUGCUCUGACUGCUUCUUUUUGCCUGUAGCAGUCAGCCUGUAAGUCAGCUGGAAACCUCGUAGGAUAAACACCAAGACAGGGAAGCUAAUUAUUACUGUCUAUACUAGACAGUCUAGUAGUGUACUAAACUUUCACUUUUUUUUUUUUUUUUUUUUUUUUUUUGUAGAGUUACAUAUUGCUUAAAAAUAUCUACACUGUUUUCCAAAUCUUUAUGAUAGUUUCUGUUGACUAUGAAAGCGAAAGUGGAAACAGGAAUCACCUCUAGAGGAAAUACUGAAGUUACUAGGAGUUUUACAGCUCUUAAUUAUAAGAAAGCCUACCAAUUGGAAAGCUAAAAGUGAAAACUGAACCUAAUAAAGGGUUCCAGAUUCAGUAAUAAAGUGCUGUA